CUGCUCCCUGACCCUUGCAGGAUCUGCCCAAAGGUGAAGCGCGUCUUCAGGUCAAUAGAUAAUCUACUAGAGAUUGUCCCCAGAGAACAGAACUGGGCCCUGAGGCCCACCGUUGCCCUUUCCUGAGAGUCCUAGCCCAGUGAAAGGAACACAGUUGACAUGUUGUUGAAGCCGGAGAUGUUGCCUGUAUGCGUAAAAGAGCUCUCUGUUUCAGGCUCAUGUACAGUCAGGAAUGGUUCCUUCUCAUCCAACUGCCCAUGCGCCAAUGAUGCUAAUGACGACACAGCCACCCGGCGGUCCCCAGGCCGCCCUCGCUCAAAGUGCACUACAGCCCAUUCCAGUCUCGACAACAGCGCAUUUCCCCUAUAUGACGCACCCUUCAGUACAAGCCCACCACCAACAGCAGUUGUAAGGCUGCCCUGGAGGAACCGAAAGGCCAAAUUCCCUCCUCCCUUCUACUGCUUCUACCAACUGGAAGCACAGAAAACUAGAAUUUCAUUUAUUUUGUUUUUAAAAUAUAUAUGUUGAUUUCUUGUAACAUCCAAUAGGAAUGCUAACAGUUCACUUGCAGUGGAAGAUACUUGGACCGAGUAGAGGCAUUUAGGAACUUGGGGGCUAUUCCAUAAUUCCAUAUGCUGUUUCAGAGUCCCGCAGGUACCCCAGCUCUGCUUGCCGAAACUGGAAGUUAUUUAUUUUUUAAUAACCCUUGAAAGUCAUGAACACAUCAGCUAGCAAAAGAAGUAACAAGAGUGAUUCUUGCUGCUAUUACUGCUAAAAAAAAAAAAAAAAAAAAAAAAAAA
Molecule: small RNA, 800 nt
Filed under: Pan troglodytes (chimpanzee)
Lineage: Eukaryota; Metazoa; Chordata; Mammalia; Primates; Hominidae
Description: retained intron
Source: RNAcentral